This is a long non-coding RNA of Mercenaria mercenaria, 4555 nucleotides long. RefSeq lists it as uncharacterized. The record is from RefSeq and is a predicted model, not a curated record. Lineage: Eukaryota; Metazoa; Mollusca; Bivalvia; Venerida; Veneridae. The transcript has 4 exons.
GUUUUAUUUACUUCCUCUUUCUUAUUUCGAUGAAUUUCAUAGCGCGCUUUUCGUAGAAUUAAGGAUUUACAUGUACUCGUGAACUGAACUGGACUUAGUGCCGAUAAACAUGGGAUACUGAAAAGAAUCUGCACAAAUCAAUGCAUUUGCAGAGGAAUACAUGGCGUACUGGUUAAUUAAAUCCAUACCGAAAGAAAGACAAUGCAGCAUCAUACCGGAAACAUCUAGAUUAUAUCUACACCAUAACGAGAACCAACCGUUUGUAAAGAGAAAUGAAAGAUCAAUAUUGAUAACAUGAUCUUUCAUGUGCCGCAAAAGAAGUCAUAUCAACACCACGGCUCGUUACGGGAAACACAAAAGGAUCGUGAGAAAAAUAUACAGCAAAGGAUUUAGCAGUCAGUAAUUUACUCUAAUUUGAGUCGAUAAUUUCUGUCAGAUAGGAAAAUAUUUUUAACGUAAAAGAAGCCUGAAAUGACACAAAUGCUGCUUCAUAUACAAUCCACGUGAAUGUAUGCCAUUUAAGGUAUAUUUUACGCAACAUUGUAAAAAUAUAAUGUACGUUGAAACUUGACAGUUACUAUUACGUUUAAAUGAGAAACUGAAUCACCCAAAUUUAUUUCUCUUCUUCUUAGUCAUCUCUGAACCUUAGUAAAUCUGGAAAUUAAGUGCAGGAAUAUUUAAUUUCAUAUGAAAAUUGCAUUCGUGUUUAGUUAUAUUAUGUCCGGUUUAUUCUUUUUGGACGACAUGUUGCGUGUUGGAACGUAAGGUUAGGUAACAGUUGGGACGACCAUCAUACGUGAUAUGACAUGAAGAAAUGCUCAUUUCAAUAUCAAAUGGAAUUAUACUCAUUCAGACUUGAGAAAUUAUCGUAAUAUGUUUCAGUGAAUGAUUUUAAACGUGUGAAAUCAAAUAUAAAGGAAUACAUUUGCUUCCCUGAAUUGGAUUAUAAUACGGAUAUUUAGCCGCAGAGGUCACAGCCUGCUGAUGAAGAUCCACAGCUUAUACAGAGGUCAGGGUUGAGCUGUGUGCUGAUUCAAAAGAUGCUAAUGACAGCGGAUAAUCCAUUCUGAGUUGUUUCACCAACGUUUCAAAACACUAGUGGAACUGAAGGCAGUACAUGUUCUGGUGUCUGGCCUGUGAUUUUAAGUAUAGUAUUAUUGACUAAGUUAGUCUCACUGUUUCCUAAAUUUGCAAACUUAAUAAUAAUUCAAACCAUGCUAGAAUUUAUUUUACUCAAAAGGAAAUAAAGGAGAACAAUAAAUAAAAUCAUGCUUGCAAAAUAUACAGAAACCAAUUUGAUACCCUGUUGUUCCGGAAAAGCAGUGAAAUUAUAGAUGAAAGUAUCUAUAUUAGAUGAAAAUGUAGCAAAUAUGUUUCACUCAAGUGAAAAAAAAAUACGAUGAAAAUAUGAGUUUUAUUUCAUCAAUAUUUACUGAUAUUUCAUUAGCAUUUAACUCGUGUGUUUCAAUUAUCCAAUAUAAAAAAUAUUUUGAACUGAACAAAGUAAUUAACUGAGAUAUAAUUUACCUUGAUACUCGAAGCGCUCAGGUAUCCAAUAUACUGAUUAUCUGGUUUACAAAAUCGGCCUUAAAUAUGACGGAAGUAAAUUAGGUGAAUAAGAUUGCUGUAAUUCAUGAUAAUCUCACCCGACUUAUGACGCAACCCUGUCAAAAAAAAAACAACAAAAAAUACAAUGUUUCAAAAAAUAUAAAAGUUAAUUAGUUUUCAUUAACCAGAGUACCUAGAUAAGUAUGUUAGACACACAACAGAAACAAAUUUAAAGAAAAAAAUCUGUUUGAAAAAAAAGUUUGACAUUUCUACAAGGUAGAAUGUGAACAGUUAGAGGUACAUGUGUUUAAGACAAAAAAGCAUAACUAAACAAGGUGACCUUUAUAGAAAGUAUCUGCUACUUGUGUAUAUAUGCUACGAAUAUUAUUGGUCUGUCAGGUAUAAUUUCCAUUUAUGAUCCUUAACAUGUAUAUAUCAGUAAAUUCUACUUUCACUUUCAGUUUGAACUGUGUUUCCUGUUUUUUAAUUUACAUUUUUUUGCAGCACCUUCAACCCCCAGACUUCCUGAAUAACCAAUUUGUUAUGUUUAUAAGACAAUAGUGUUGUAGGUUUGUAAUAUAUCAUAACUUGAGACAGGGCUAUAUAAAAACUAUUUUUGACAUAAGCAUGGUAACAAAACAUAUUUUUGAAACAGAAGUUUCAAAAUCUUUAUGACAGUAUAAUAGCAUUUUAUGAUGGGAAAUUUCCAAGCAGUAGAAUAUAUUUGCAUAUUAAAGCUUUUCCUUCUUUUUCUGUACACUUCUGUCUAUUGUAGAUCUAAAUAGAGACAGAAUAUGAAAUUCCUCUAAAAAACGCUAUUUUUUUUUUGAAAAUCAUUAUGAAAGAAAACGCUAUUUCAGUUGUAAGGCAUCCCUGAAAUGUCACAGAUUUUGAUGAUGGUUCAAAAUGUUCAUACCCUGAAUGGAGGCACUUCAUUUUGACUUUUGAUUUUGACCAAGUAUUGGUUUUGUUUGAAACUUUCACUUAUGAUAAUUUGCAUGCCUAGCUUAGAAUAUAAAGCACUAGACUAUGAAUCAAGAAAAGUUGUGAGUUUGAUCCCUUGGUUAUGCAUGCUAUGCAUGCAAUGUCUUUAACAGUUUGAGAGAAGAACAUGUCAGAAGUCAUUUGUCUAACAUUUCUUACUCAUUUACAAUGGGAAGUUGUCUGUGAGCACAAGUCAUUUCUAGUAAAGAAUGCAGGAACACUUGAUAGGUUAACUGAACACCAUUACAUGACUGAAAUACUAUGGCAAAAUUGAAUCAUAUUGAAACAAAAUACAAAAAAAAGGAAAUUUCGCUCGAUAAAUGCAUAACAAAAAUAAAAUUUGUGAUAGUGUACUGUAUAUAACAUAGAAAAAACAAUUCGUUUUCAGAUUGAUGUACCUCCUCCUGAUGUACCUCCUUGAAUACAGUAUAUCUGCCAUGUGAAUGGAACAAGCUGCAAGAUAUACUGUGGAAGUGGGGGCCUAUGUAAAAAACAUUUUAUUUAAAGAAUAUAAGAAAUCUGACACAAAACUACUAAAAAGGUGCACAGGGGACAUUUUUGUGUGUAUAGACUUCCAUCAAGAUUCUGAGAGUUGAUUUAUUAAACAAAAAAUAGCCAUAUUGUGUUUCAAAGCUGAAAAGAUUAGGAUCUUAGGAAAACAUUAGGACUCAAGAAAAGUAAUGGGGUUAUGAAACUGUAGUGUUCAACAUUUAAAUCGAGUUCUUUUGUUGUUUUUUAACUACAUUUGUGAAGAGGGUUCCAUCACAAGAUUUGACAUAUUGGUAAGAAUGAGAUGUAGUUUAUGAAAACAAGUAUUUUGCUUUAAAUGUGCAGACUUUAAGUUACAUAAAAAAAUCAAAGCUGUAACAAUAAAGCUUGGUUAAAAAACACACACAGUUGAAAACUAGCCUUCAUGUAAAUGCCACACUUAUUUGGUGCACAGGGGACACAAUUAGCUAUAUAAUUUAAUAUAACUACCCUUAGUCAUGUGCAUCAUUGAAAGUAUAUGUUACAGUAGUACUUUUCUAACCAACUGAUAAACAUUCAUUUUUUGGAAAGUUUGUUGCAUAAAGUUAAAGGAGUUUUUUUAUGAAAUUUACAUGGUGUAGGCCUUUUAGCUGUUUACUUUAAAAAAAAGACCUUGUAUUUUUAAUUUCUUAUGUAAUUAAGUCAUUUCUAAUGUUUUCUUUUUUAACUGACCCUGAGUUGCAGUUCUUGUUAACUACAAAAUCAUCUACUAUUAUUGGUUAACUAAUUAUUGGAAUAGUGAGUAUUUUAACAUUGUUUCAUCACAAUGCACUCCUUUAUGGGAAUAGGGAGGCAAUAGCAGUAUUAUAGCACAUUUAACUAUUAAACUAAUUAUUAAACUGCCUUAGACACACCUGAAAAUCAGAUAAAUUUGAAAAGACAUGCAAAGUUUUAAAAAUGUUUUUGGAUUUAAGUUAUUAUAUUUUCAUACUUUUAUCUUCAGUUGGUUAUAAAUGCAACUGAUUGUUUUUAUCAACAUCUGUUGUCAGGUGUGUUUCGUCCCAAGUUAAUUUUGUGACUCAUACAGUGUUUCCAGGACUCGACAGUAAGAGAAACACCAUCAACUUGAGUCAACAACAUAACUUUUAACAUGUGAACAGAAGUUAAUUAUAAACAUUUUCAAAGGUACAUAGUGAACUGGAACAGUAAAUGAAAAUUAUACUGAAAUAGAUGAAAACCUGUACACUUUAGAAUUUCAUAGUUCUUUUAAAAAAUCAAAUUUAUCUGAGAAGACAAUGACAGUGAAAUAUAAAAUUUUACUUAAAAUUAUUGUUGUAAAUCAUACUGAAAUCGAACAACUUACUUGUAAUAAAAAAAUUAUCAAUAGCAUGGAGUUAAGAUUUUCUGAUAGUUUUGCAAAGAUAUGAAAAACAUUGUACAUUAAAUGUUCAAUCAAUAUUUCAGAUCAAAUUAUGAAAUGCCAUAUUUAUUUAUAAAUGAAUAAAACUGUUGUCAACUUAUACAAAUUUCUGUUAACUUUAAUAAAUUAUUAGAA